RNAcentral lists this ribosomal RNA (301 nucleotides) under uncultured bacterium. RNAcentral's name for it is "partial 16S ribosomal RNA". It matches the Rfam family "Bacterial small subunit ribosomal RNA", at positions 509 to 807 of the family's 1533-position model. The record is from RNAcentral.
CAGCAGCCGCGGUAAUACGGAGGGAGCUAGCGUUGUUCGGAAUUACUGGGCGUAAAGCGCACGUAGGCGGUUACUCAAGUCAGAGGUGAAAGCCCGGGGCUCAACCCCGGAACUGCCUUUGAAACUAGGUGACUAGAAUCUUGGAGAGGUCAGUGGAAUUCCGAGUGUAGAGGUGAAAUUCGUAGGUAUUCGGAAGAACACCAGUGGCGAAGGCGACUGACUGGACAAGUAUUGACGCUGAGGUGCGAAAGCGUGGGGAGCAAACAGGAUUAGAUACCCCUGUAGUCCCUGUCUCUUAUAC